AGGAUGGUGGCGCAGUCUGGUAGCGCAACGCGGCGGGGGAGGUCAGGGGUUCGAAUCCCUUCCUUUCGA
RNAcentral lists this transfer RNA (69 nucleotides) under Rhizobium sp. BK456. RNAcentral's name for it is "tRNA-Ser". It matches the Rfam family "tRNA". Rfam says of the family: Transfer RNA (tRNA) molecules are approximately 80 nucleotides in length. Their secondary structure includes four short double-helical elements and three loops (D, anti-codon, and T loops). The record is from RNAcentral. Lineage: Bacteria; Pseudomonadati; Pseudomonadota; Alphaproteobacteria; Hyphomicrobiales; Rhizobiaceae.